GAGAGCUUGCUCUCUUGGCGGCGAGUGGCGGACGGGUGAGUAAUAUAUCGGAACGUGCCCAGUAGCGGGGGAUAACUACUCGAAAGAGUGGCUAAUACCGCAUACGCCCUACGGGGGAAAGGGGGGGAUCGCAAGACCUCUCACUAUUGGAGCGGCCGAUAUCGGAUUAGCUAGUUGGUGGGGUAAAGGCUCACCAAGGCAACGAUCCGUAGCUGGUUUGAGAGGACGACCAGCCACACUGGGACUGAGACACGGCCCAGACUCCUACGGGAGGCAGCAGUGGGGAAUUUUGGACAAUGGGGGAAACCCUGAUCCAGCCAUCCCGCGUGUAUGAUGAAGGCCUUCGGGUUGUAAAGUACUUUUGGCAGAGAAGAAAAGGUAUCUCCUAAUACGAGAUACUGCUGACGGUAUCUGCAGAAUAAGCACCGGCUAACUACGUGCCAGCAGCCGCGGUAAUACGUAGGGUGCAAGCGUUAAUCGGAAUUACUGGGCGUAAAGCGUGUGUAGGCGGUUCGGAAAGAAAGAUGUGAAAUCCCAGGGCUCAACCUUGGAACUGCAUUUUUAACUGCCGAGCUAGAG
RNAcentral lists this ribosomal RNA (579 nucleotides) under Alcaligenes sp. HPC358. Its description in RNAcentral is "bacterial SSU rRNA". It matches the Rfam family "Bacterial small subunit ribosomal RNA", at positions 74 to 646 of the family's 1533-position model. The record is from RNAcentral. Lineage: Bacteria; Pseudomonadati; Pseudomonadota; Betaproteobacteria; Burkholderiales; Alcaligenaceae.